CCCUUAGAUGUUCUGGGCCGCACGCGCGCUACACUGAUGCAUUCAACGAGUCUAAAACCUGGUCUGAUAGGGCUGGGUAAUCUUUUGAAUGUGCAUCGUGAUUGGGAUAGAUGAUUGCAAUUCUUCAUCUUCAACGAGGAAUGCCUAGUAAACGCAAGUCAUCAGCUUGCAUUGAUUGCGUCCCUGCCCUUUGUACACACCGCCCGUCGCUCCUACCGAUUGAAUGUUCCGAAGAAUACCAUGGACUGAGAGUAUGAAUGGGUUCGCCUAUUUCUGCUUCUCGGGAAGUGGAGUAAAUCUUAACAUUUAGAGGAAGGAGAAGUCGUAACA
RNAcentral lists this ribosomal RNA (330 nucleotides) under uncultured eukaryote. Its description in RNAcentral is "partial 18S ribosomal RNA". It matches the Rfam family "Eukaryotic small subunit ribosomal RNA", at positions 1470 to 1796 of the family's 1831-position model. The record is from RNAcentral.